GACGAACGCUGGCGGCGUGCUUAACACAUGCAAGUCGAACGGAAAGGCCCUGCUUUUGUGGGGUGCUCGAGUGGCGAACGGGUGAGUAACACGUGAGUAACCUGCCCUUGACUUUGGGAUAACUUCAGGAAACUGGGGCUAAUACCGGAUAGGAGCUCCUGCUGCAUGGUGGGGGUUGGAAAGUUUCGGCGGUUGGGGAUGGACUCGCGGCUUAUCAGCUUGUUGGUGGGGUAGUGGCUUACCAAGGCUUUGACGGGUAGCCGGCCUGAGAAGGUGACCGGCGACAUUGGGACUGAGAUACGGCCCAGACUCCUACGGGAGGCAGCAGUGGGGAAUAUUGCACCAUGGGCGGAAGCCUGAUGCAGCAACGCCGCGUGCGGGAUGACGGCCUUCGGGUUGUAAACCGCUUUCGCCUGUGACGAAGCGUGAGUGACGGUAAUGGGUAAAGAAGCACCGGCUAACUACGUG
This 468-nucleotide ribosomal RNA is filed under the name uncultured bacterium. Its description in RNAcentral is "partial 16S ribosomal RNA". It matches the Rfam family "Bacterial small subunit ribosomal RNA", at positions 28 to 507 of the family's 1533-position model. The record is from RNAcentral.